GACGAACGCUGGCGGCGUGCUUAACACAUGCAAGUCGAGCGGUAAGGCCCUUUCGGGGGUACACGAGCGGCGAACGGGUGAGUAACACGUGGGUGACCUGCCCUCAGCUCUGGGAUAAGCCUGGGAAACCGAGUCUAAUACUGGAUAUGACUCCAUGACGCAUGUUGUGGGGUGGAAAGCCUUGUGCGGCUGAGGAUGGGCCCGCGGCCUAUCAGCUUGUUGGNGGGGUGAUGGCCUACCAAGGCGACGACGGGUAGCCGGCCUGAGAGGGCGACCGGCCACACUGGGACUGAGACACGGCCCAGACUCCUACGGGAGGCAGCAGUGGGGAAUCUUGCGCAAUGGGCGAAAGCCUGACGCAGCGACGCCGCGUGAGGGA
This 379-nucleotide ribosomal RNA is filed under the name uncultured bacterium. Its description in RNAcentral is "bacterial SSU rRNA". It matches the Rfam family "Bacterial small subunit ribosomal RNA", at positions 28 to 408 of the family's 1533-position model. The record is from RNAcentral.